GGGGCCAUAGCUCAGUUGGGAGAGCGCUUGCAUGGCAUGCAAGAGGUCGGCGGUUCGAACCCGCCUGGCUCCACCA
Molecule: transfer RNA, 76 nt
Filed under: bacterium
Lineage: Bacteria
Also listed under: 7 other names
Description: tRNA-Ala
Rfam family: tRNA
About the family: Transfer RNA (tRNA) molecules are approximately 80 nucleotides in length. Their secondary structure includes four short double-helical elements and three loops (D, anti-codon, and T loops).
Source: RNAcentral